GCACGUGGUGUCAGGAAGACAAAAGAAAGAGCCGACUUGGGAAUGGAUGGUCGCCAUCUUCUUGUCGGUUCGAAGGGAUUUAGUUAAAAAUCCGGAUAAUUAUUAAUUUUAAAACCCUUUCGCGACAUCAGAAGUGUGGAUAGAACUUACCAAACCACAAUAAGCUUUUGAGUGGCAUGGUGAAACCUGUAGGAUGCAUUUGAAUAAGAUAAGUGUCGUAGGCUGCGCAGCAGAUAGAACCCCAAAAGAAGAUAUCUCUGUUAUUUGGAAAAUAGUUAAUAAAACAUACAAAUUACAGAACAACUUAAAGUAUCAAGAAAAUAUACGCUAACAGAUUUAUAAUGCAUCAAUAUAUUCCUAGAGACCCAUAUAGAAGAUAUUUGUGUUUAUACCAAACCAAACCACUUGAAGUUUUGACGUCGACGAAGUUCCUAAUUACAAGUUAAUUAAAAGCUCUAAAAAUUAUCUAAAAGCCUAGAUGUUUCUCUAUAGCAGUUUUCAAACCAAACAACAUAAUGAACUUUAUCGUUGACUGAUCCUGUACAGUUUAUAGGUAUAUAACAUUGAGAAGGAGGUA
This is a long non-coding RNA of Sitophilus oryzae (rice weevil), 577 nucleotides long. RefSeq lists it as uncharacterized. The record is from RefSeq and is a predicted model, not a curated record. NCBI's taxonomy places the organism in Eukaryota, Metazoa, Arthropoda, Insecta, Coleoptera, Curculionidae. The transcript has 4 exons.